RNAcentral lists this transfer RNA (76 nucleotides) under Gilliamella sp. wkB308. Its description in RNAcentral is "tRNA-Pro". It matches the Rfam family "tRNA". From Rfam's summary of the family: Transfer RNA (tRNA) molecules are approximately 80 nucleotides in length. Lineage: Bacteria; Pseudomonadati; Pseudomonadota; Gammaproteobacteria; Orbales; Orbaceae. The record is from RNAcentral.
UUUUGAAUAGUUCAUCUGGUAGAACAAUCGACUAGGGAUCGAUAUGUAGUGGGUUCGAAUCCCACUUCAAAAACCG